This 2636-nucleotide long non-coding RNA is filed under the name Sus scrofa (pig). RNAcentral's name for it is "lncRNA (ENSSSCG00055011713.1)". Lineage: Eukaryota; Metazoa; Chordata; Mammalia; Artiodactyla; Suidae. The record is from RNAcentral.
UUUUUUUUUUUUUUUGGUAUAAUGUAUUGAAGCUCCCAAAUUUAUUAGGCACAUUCUUGAGGAGAUCGUAUUUUUAUCAGUGUUCAUAUAGUUGUUUUCUGGGAGCAAAAACCCAAGAAGAUUUCUGAAUGAACCAGCAGGCUCCACUGCACGCAUUUCACUGCAGAAGAGAAUGAAUAAGAAAUUGGUUUGGCCCAGUUCAACCACUGGAGAAGAGACAACCUGCACCAUUUAGAACGACUAAUGCAGAUCAAAAUGACGUAGAAUUGUUUUUUUCUAAUUUUUCUAUUUAGAAUAGCUUAAGGGUAGAGGUGAAGAAGGAUUUUUUGUUUGUUUUUGUCUUUUUGCUAUUUCUUUGGGCCGCUCCCGAGGCAUACGGAGGUUCCCAGGCUAAGGGUCUAAUCGGAGCUAUAGCCACGGGCCUAUGCCAGAGCCACAGCAACGCGAGAUCCGAGCCGUGUCUGCAACCUACCCCACAGCUCACGGCAACGCCAGAUCAUUAACCCACUGAGCAAGGGCAGGGACCGAACCCGCAACCUCAUGGUUCCUAGUCGGAUUCGUUAACCACUGCGCCAUGACAGGAACUCCUGAAUUUUUUUUUUUUUAAUCAGAAUCGGUGGACAUUUUCCCUGGAGUUAGAAUCUGUAAAAGAAAAUGAGGGUUCCAAAAUGAAAGCCUAGGAUGGAAACUGGAGUUCUUUCUCAGAUGCUUCACUGGAGCUAAAUCCUGUGUUUUGUACCAGAAGAUCUAAUAGAAUGUAGUUUGUCUGAGAGAAGAGACCUGACCCCUGGCAGAUGGCAAGGGAGGUUUCACAGAGAUGGAGCAUUCAGGCACCAGGCCUGUGGGCUUUAGAACUGACACCUUGCCUGGCAUCUAGGUGGUGUAAGCCCUCUGCAUCCUAUUCCCUUACAUAGUUUCUUUAAUUAAUGAAAAAACAAAAAACUGGUCACUUGGUCUGCGUGUGCUGUGAUGUACUGUCUGACUUCAGUGAAAAGCCCAAGCUCAAGUUCUAAAUAAAAAACGGAUAAAGGGAAAGACAGUGCUUUCCCUGUAGUCAUAUUUGUGUGUUCAGUGACACCAGGACAGGGGCAGUGUUGCCCAGAGGAGUUGUGAUCUCCCAGGAGACAUGCACAGUAGGCAUCUCCCCUAGCAGAGGGCAGGAGGUCAGAGAGGGAAAUGCAAGAAUCUUGUUUCUCAGUGCAUGAGUGAGCAUCUUGGGAGAUUUUAGGAACAGCCUUGGGGAGACCUUAAGAGGCUGAGGUACAGCAAUCAAGGCAGUGGGUCCUAAGCCAUCAUAAAGGUGGCACUUGAUGAAAAUAAGAUCCUGUUUUCUUCUCCCAGACUUAAACACUUGGGUUGUUGUAGGUCUCAAUAAAAGUUAAUUUUACAUCCUCUAGGUAAACAGUAGUUUUCUUAGCUUGACAUUAUUAGAGCCCCCAGGGGUCAAGGUUGUAGCUGGGACCCUGAUAACUCUAAAACCUGGAGAGGUUGAACUAAUCCAUGGAGAAAGCCAGCAAAAUAUGGGGACCUGGGCUACCCAGUUAAUAUAAUAAUGCUAACGUCCACAGAGGCCAGGUAUUUGCUGGAAGUCAGGUGCAUUGUUAAGCACAUUUAUUAUGGCAUCUCAUUGAAGAGCAGCCAAUAAGAUCAUGAAUACUGUCUGUCUUAUACUCAAGAAGGAGACCUGGCCCUUAAAAAGUAAAGAAAAUUCCCUAAAUCUACACAGGUAGGAAGUUAUAGAGUCAAAUUGAAAUUUCAGUCUGUUGGACUUAAAAAUCCAUCGUUUUAAUCAUUAUUACAUCAAUACCCUUUUCAGAUGUACUUUGCUGUCCUGGAUGUGCUUCCUGGUGACCCCUUUAUGUCUGGGAAAGGUAAAGUAAAAACACUUAAUUUUUUUUUUUUUCUUUGAGCAUAGUUGCUCAUCCGGUACUAGGUAGAAGCAAAGAGCCCUCUGACUUUUACUCUAUUAACACUAGUCUGUUUCUUAGGAGGAUUUCUCUUCUUCCAUAAACCCCUGCAAAACAGAGUGUGUUGUUCUGGUUUCUUCCUUUUACUUUCUUGUUCUUGAAUUUAGUUCAACACGAGAUGCUGGCAGUUUUUGCUGCAUGGUGUUUCUCUUUCUCUCUCUUCUCUCUCUCUCCUUCUCACACACACACAUACACACACACACAGAGCCAAUCACAUAUUCUCUGUGAUUGUUAGGCUGUUAGCAAUAACAAAAAAGAAGUAUGAAUUCUUGUGGAUCCCAAGAUUUAACUCUAGAUGUCUAAAUGGAAUUUUAAAAGAACAUAAAGAUAAGCUACAUCUCACUUUGCAUAUCAUAUUAUAGAAGUCCUGUGGAAAUAGUCCUAUAUAUAUAGUCCUAUAUAUAUAGGUAUGUGUGGGUGUAUAUAUAUACACACACAAAGAGAGAAUAUAUGUGUAUAUGUAUAUAUAUGAAUGAAUAAUAGUCUAUAUGUUUAUAUGUGUACAUGUCCAUAGAUAACAUAUAUACUUUAUAUAGCUAUAUCUAUAUACUUGAUUCACUUGAAAGAAAAUUAGAACUUUCAGAGUUCCCAUCGUGGCGCAGUGGUUAACGAAUCCUACUAGGAACCUGAGCCACGACGGGAACUCCAUGAAUAGAGCACUUUGAAUCU